UUAAACAGAUGGGAAUACCAAUGUAUAUCUUAAUGUGAACCAGGUCAAGUGGGGGAUGUAUAUCGUAAUGUGAACCAGGUCAAGUGGGGGAUGUAUAUCUUAAUGUGAACCAGGUCAAGUGGGGGAUGUAUAUCUUAAUGUGAACCAGGUCAAGUGGGGAUGUAUAUCUUAAUGUGAACCAGGUCAAGUGGGGGAUGUAUAUCUUAAUGUGAAUCAGGUCAAGUGGGGGAUGUAUAUCUU
Molecule: long non-coding RNA, 240 nt
Organism: Haliotis rubra (blacklip abalone)
Lineage: Eukaryota; Metazoa; Mollusca; Gastropoda; Lepetellida; Haliotidae
Exons: 3
Source: RefSeq, a predicted model, not a curated record